GCCAGACCAGGUAUUUUGCCUGUUCCGUGAUUUAAAGAGAAGCACUGCCCUAAAGAGUAACUCUAUCAGCAACAGAAAAGCUGCGAAGGUAGAACAGAGGAUAAUGUGAAAGGAUUUUGUCUGGUUCAUUUGGAGCACACUUGAAGGGUGAAAAAGAAGACAAAGAGGAAGCUCGAGAGAGUCUGUCACUGCCCUUCUCCUUCACACUUUCCAACAGACCUGAGCCUGGACGCUAGCCAUGGAGGAAGAGUAUAUGAAAAAGGGCUACCCUGAUGUCGUAACACAGCAGCACACGAGCAACGUGGAUAGGGGCUACUCCGAGACCAAGCGCGCCGAUUCGGGACCAAACGGCUGCAUGCGGUGCUGCAUGAGUACCAAGAGAUGCGUGAUGAGCCCGGAAUGUGGCAGAGCUCUGAGCAUCGCCAAUGUCAUCGCCAUGUGUGGCAUGUGUAUCCGCAUGUGGACGUAGAUUUCUACUGCUUCUGAAUCAAGAACAGUUUGUCUCCUGGUAGCUGCCACCCUGAACUUAGAAUAAUAGGAGGCAUCAUGAUUAUGGAAUCUUGACCACACCUCUACGAAACAACCAUUAUUACACACCCUUAGAUUGAACUCCACCCUAUUUUAUGAUGUCUUUUGCUAAUCAUAUAUAUCUUUGACAACACACACAAUAUUGCAGCAUAUCUGUAAGUAAACUUAUCGUUAAAUAGGGUAAUAAAUGGGUAAUGAAAAUGUAAUAUAACUGUAAAAAAUAGAAAUCGGAAUGGAUGAAUAACAUAUUCAUAUUUAAUGUAUAAAAUGUUUCAAGGAUUCUACAUCCUCAGGUCUCUGUCUUCCCUCAGCUGCUGUAUCAUGACAGGUAGCAGUGAGAUGUGACCGAGUGCCUGCAGGUGAACAAUCAGUAAAGCCUAGACCUUGAUUUUAACACUCUAACACUCCACAAAAACCCUGGAUAUUAGAUAGUUUCUGCUCAGAACUAGGCUGUGAAUGAUGACUUGUGAAAUGCAUUCUGCUACAGAUUAUUCACAGCCUCUCUCUCUGCGAUUGUCAUCUGCAACUAAAGUAAUUAAAUUAAAAAGUCUAGUGGCACUGGAGGUCAUGUUCACUGUCGUUUAGUUUUUAAUUUUCAUUUUGUUGACAAUUUUUCCUGUUUAAUUACCUUAAAUCAGUUAAGUAAUUUAAUCCUUUCAAGUGUCUUCCCCCACAAUUCUAAUGCUUUUCAUUUGCAUACGAGUAAUGGAGAACAGUCACCUUUUUGGGAUUCUCAACACAUAACCUUGUGUAUUUUAUUCUUCUCAUAACUGAUUAGACAUUACUAUCUUCUUCAUUUUUAUUUUUUUUUGUUAACUAAAACACUUGUCGUUUUUCCUAAACUUUUUUUUUUUUUUUUUUUUUUUGUGGUUGUAGUCUGAGCUAAAUUUAACAACGAUU
Molecule: long non-coding RNA, 1428 nt
Organism: Hemibagrus wyckioides
Lineage: Eukaryota; Metazoa; Chordata; Actinopteri; Siluriformes; Bagridae
Exons: 3
Source: RefSeq, a predicted model, not a curated record